RNAcentral lists this long non-coding RNA (301 nucleotides) under Struthio camelus australis. Its description in RNAcentral is "lncRNA (ENSSCUG00000008357.1)". The record is from RNAcentral. Lineage: Eukaryota; Metazoa; Chordata; Aves; Struthioniformes; Struthionidae.
CAGCCACCACUCGGGCGAGGUGCCCGUGGGUGCCUUCUGCCGCGUGGCCAGCGCCGGCUCGGCUUGUCCCUGCGCCCUCAGCGCCCUCGAGGAGCACAACUUCCUCUUCCAGCUCCAGGCGCCCGAGAGGCCCCCCGAGGACGCCAAGGAGGGCUUGGAGGUCCCGUUGGUGGCCGUGAUCCAGUGGUCGACGCCAAAACUGCCCUUCACCAGCAGCAUCUACACGCAUUACCGGCUGCCAAGCAUCCGCCUGGAGCGGCCGCGCUUCGUGAUGACGGCCGCCCGCGAGGCGCCGGCGCGC